AGUGAACGCUGGCGGUAGGCCUAACACAUGCAAGUCGAACGGCAGCACAGUAAGAGCUUGCUCUUACGGGUGGCGAGUGGCGGACGGGUGAGGAAUACAUCGGAAUCUACUUUUUCGUGGGGGAUAACGUAGGGAAACUUACGCUAAUACCGCAUACGACCUACGGGUGAAAGCAGGGGAUCUUCGGACCUUGCGCGAUUGAAUGAGCCGAUGUCGGAUUAGCUAGUUGGCGGGGUAAAGGCCCACCAAGGCGACGAUCCGUAGCUGGUCUGAGAGGAUGAUCAGCCACACUGGAACUGAGACACGGUCCAGACUCCUACGGGAGGCAGCAGUGGGGAGUAUUGGACAAUGGGCGCAAGCCUGAUCCAGCCAUACCGCGUGGGUGAAGAAGGCCUUCGGGUUGUAAAGCCCUUUUGCUGGGAAAGAAAAGCAGCAGGUUAAUACCCCGCUGUUCUGACGGUACCCAAAGAAUAAGCACCGGCUAACUUCGUG
RNAcentral lists this ribosomal RNA (492 nucleotides) under uncultured bacterium. Its description in RNAcentral is "partial 16S ribosomal RNA". It matches the Rfam family "Bacterial small subunit ribosomal RNA", at positions 29 to 507 of the family's 1533-position model. The record is from RNAcentral.